Molecule: ribosomal RNA, 253 nt
Filed under: uncultured bacterium
Lineage: Bacteria
Description: partial 16S ribosomal RNA
Rfam family: Bacterial small subunit ribosomal RNA
Source: RNAcentral
UACAGAGGGUGCAAGCGUUAAUCGGAAUUACUGGGCGUAAAGCGUGCGUAGUCGGUUAUUUAAGUUGGGUGUGAAAGCCCCGGGCUCAACCUGGGAAUUGCAUUCGAUACUGGAUAGCUAGAGUUCGGCAGAGGGAAGCGGAAUUUCCGGUGUAGCGGUGAAAUGCGUAGAUAUCGGAAGGAACAUCAGUGGCGAAAGCGGCUUCCUGGACCAGAACUGACGAUCAGGCACGAAAGCGUGGGGAGCAAACAGG